AACGAACGCUGGCGGCAUGCCUAACACAUGCAAGUCGAACGAGACCUUCGGGUCUAGUGGCGCACGGGUGCGUAACGCGUGGGAACCUGCCCUUAGGUUCGGAAUAACUCCCCGAAAGGGGUGCUAAUACCGGAUAAUGUCUUCGGACCAAAGAUUUAUCGCCUUUGGAUGGGCCCGCGUUGGAUUAGCUAGUUGGUAGGGUAAAAGCCUACCAAGGCGACGAUCCAUAGCUGGUCUGAGAGGAUGAUCAGCCACACUGGGACCGAGACACGGCCCAGACUCCUACGGGAGGCAGCAGUGGGGAAUAUUGGACAAUGGGCGAAAGCCUGAUCCAGCAAUGCCGCGUGAGUGAUGAAGGCCUUAGGGUUGUAAAGCUCCUUUACCCGGGAUGAUAAUGACAGUACCGGGAGAAUAAGCUCCGGCUAACUCCGUG
RNAcentral lists this ribosomal RNA (433 nucleotides) under uncultured bacterium. RNAcentral's name for it is "partial 16S ribosomal RNA". It matches the Rfam family "Bacterial small subunit ribosomal RNA", at positions 29 to 507 of the family's 1533-position model. The record is from RNAcentral.